Molecule: ribosomal RNA, 253 nt
Filed under: uncultured bacterium
Lineage: Bacteria
Description: partial 16S ribosomal RNA
Rfam family: Bacterial small subunit ribosomal RNA
Source: RNAcentral
UACGUAGGUGGCAAGCGUUGUCCGGAUUUAUUGGGUUUAAAGGGUGCGUAGGCGGUUUUUUAAGUCAGUGGUGAAAUACUUCAGCUUAACUGGAGAGGUGCCAUUGAUACUGGGAAACUUGAGUACUGAUGAGGUAGGCGGAAUGGACGGUGUAGCGGUGAAAUGCUUAGAUAUCGUCCAGAACACCGAUAGCGAAGGCAGCUUACUAAGGAGUAACUGACGCUGAGGCACGAAAGUGUGGGGAGCAAACAGG